AGAUCUAGAAGACACAUCUGCACGAUGUCUUCCAAUGCGGGACUCAGAUUAGCAUCGGCGUGCGUUGCAGUAACAAGACAAUGACAUUGUAUAGUUUUGAUACGGUUCGCGUGUUGUGAAUAAAUAAAAAAUAAUGUUCUGGAAAACAAUUUUGAUAAUAUUACCCUUCCUUAGUCUCUGUCGAGGUAACACAAGAAUUUGUAGAUGCUGGGAAGGUUAUAAAGUCGAUUUAAGUGAAAAUGGACCUCAAUGUGUAGCGAUCAAUCAGUUUCACAUUAUGCCUUGCAAUAUGAUAAUGUCACCAAAAUGCAAAUGUUCUGGAAGAGUCAGUAAUAUAUUGAAAGACCGUACAGGAACUUGGUGUACACGUUAUAGGAAAGGGCAGGAAUUCAUGCG
Diorhabda carinulata is the source of this 396-nucleotide long non-coding RNA. RefSeq lists it as uncharacterized. The record is from RefSeq and is a predicted model, not a curated record. Lineage: Eukaryota; Metazoa; Arthropoda; Insecta; Coleoptera; Chrysomelidae. The transcript has 3 exons.